This 445-nucleotide ribosomal RNA is filed under the name uncultured bacterium. RNAcentral's name for it is "partial 16S ribosomal RNA". It matches the Rfam family "Bacterial small subunit ribosomal RNA", at positions 354 to 796 of the family's 1533-position model. The record is from RNAcentral.
GUGAGGAAUAUUGGUCAAUGGGCGGAAGCCUGAACCAGCCAUCCCGCGUGAAGGAAGGCGGCCCUAUGGGUUGUAAACUUCUUUAGUACAUGAAGAACAGGAUCUACGCGUAGGUUUAUGACGGUAAUGUACAAGAAAGCAUCGGCUAACUCCGUGCCAGCAGCCGCGGUAAUACGGAGGAUCCAAGCGUUAUCCGGAUUUAUUGGGUUUAAAGGGUGCGUAGGCGGCCCGUUAAGUCAGGGGUGAAAUACGGCAGCUCAACUGUCGCAGUGCCCUUGAUACUGACGGGCUUGAAUACCGGUGAAGGCGGCGGAAUGAGACAAGUAGCGGUGAAAUGCAUAGAUAUGUCUCAGAACCCCGAUUGCGAAGGCAGCUACCUAACCGGCGAUUGACGCUGAUGCACGAAAGCGUGGGGAUCGAACAGGAUUAGAUACCCGUGUAGUCC